GGAGGGGUAUCGAAGCGGUCAUAACGGGACUGACUCGAAAUCAGUUUGGGGGCAACCUCACGCGGGUUCGAAUCCCGCCCCCUCCGCCA
This 89-nucleotide transfer RNA is filed under the name Clostridiales bacterium. RNAcentral describes it as "tRNA-Ser". It matches the Rfam family "tRNA". From Rfam's summary of the family: Transfer RNA (tRNA) molecules are approximately 80 nucleotides in length. The record is from RNAcentral. Lineage: Bacteria; Bacillati; Bacillota; Clostridia; Eubacteriales.